RNAcentral lists this ribosomal RNA (433 nucleotides) under uncultured bacterium. Its description in RNAcentral is "partial 16S ribosomal RNA". It matches the Rfam family "Bacterial small subunit ribosomal RNA", at positions 29 to 507 of the family's 1533-position model. The record is from RNAcentral.
AACGAACGCUGGCGGCAUGCCUAACACAUGCAAGUCGAACGAGACCUUCGGGUCUAGUGGCGCACGGGUGCGUAACGCGUGGGAACCUGCCCUUAGGUUCGGAAUAACUCCCCGAAAGGGGUGCUAAUACCGGAUAAUGUCUUCGGACCAAAGAUUUAUCGCCUUUGGAUGGGCCCGCGUUGGAUUAGCUAGUUGGUAGGGUAAAAGCCUACCAAGGCGACGAUCCAUAGCUUGGUUGAGAGGAUGAUCAGCCACACUGGGACUGAGACACGGCCCAGACUCCUACGGGAGGCAGCAGUGGGGAAUAUUGGACAAUGGGCGAAAGCAUGAUCCAGCAAUGCCGCGUGAGUGAUGAAGGCCUUAGGGUUGUAAAGCUCUUUUACCCGGGAUGAUAAUGACAGUACCGGGAGAAUAAGCUCCGGCUAACUCCGUG